CUGUUGAGGAGCCUCCUGGCCGCCGAGGAAAACGGCGGCGUCUCGCUGCCCGGCGAGAAGCUGGCGGGAGGCGCUUGCUUUACCUUCGGAGCUGGAGCUCCGUCUCUGGGGGAGAAUAGCCCGCGAUGUGAGGGAAGGACUGUGCUGGGCCCCCGGUCAAGGGCCCGGCAAGAAGGGCUCCGCUUGGCGGAGGGAGGAGCAGCCCAGCGCUGCCGGAGAGCGGAAGGGGCAGAGCCGCGGGCCUGGUGAGCGGCUCCAGUGCUUCCUAAAGGCCCACGGAGGACAGCGCGUGGUCCUAGGCUUACGGACACUCAGGCGGCUCCGAGUGCCCUGAACGAAGUGCCCUGCCCUCAGCCGUGCCCUGAACGAAGCCCAUUUGUUCUCUGAGCUGCCGACUGGCUUUGAUUCGCCAAAGUGGGCCUGGGGCCGAGUUGGGAUCAUGAACUGGGAAACAGCCGACUGCUCCAAGAAAAGAAUCAUUUGGAGCCUUUUAGAACUUGGACGCAGGGGUAAGGAGAACAGUGUGGAAGAGAGAGAGAGACGCUUCGAGAUGACCACAGCUUGGCCUUGGACGUGGGGUAGGGGCGCUAGGGGGGUUAUGAGCAAAGACAUCAGCUGGUUUCCUUCAGGAUACUUUAAUUUGCAAAUCUCUCUCCAUCCCUUCAUCUGUUUCUUCACUAUAAGCAGAGGCUGAGGUGGGGAUUGUGGUGCAAGAGGUUUAUGGGGGGGAUGCUUCAGGAGAAAGCGAAGAUGUCAAGAGCUGGUAGUGGCUUCAAGUCACCCCCACGGCUCUCAGAGCACAAAUUACGUCCAGAAUUGGUCCUGCUGGGAGGCAAGGGGCUGACCUUCUGUCCCCCGCAGCAGAUGGUCAUUAGCACCUCAGGGAAGAGGGCAUACGUGAGCUCUUGGCAGCCAGGAGAUGGCCUCACCGGCUGGUGAAAAACCUGAAAGGGGCACUUUCAGCAUCCACCACAUGUUCCACACUUUUCCAAGGUCUCCUGAACACCCUGUGACUGAAAAAGGGGGUUAUAAAAAACGAGGAAAGGGAUGGAUUUAUUUCUGAGUCAGAUGAUGAAGCAAGUAACCACUGAACUAAAUGAGUAAGACAAGAGUCUGAGCCACAGGUGACUCUGAGGCUGUGUGGCCCCCCACCCCCACCACGUGCAGAUGCCGGUAGAGAGUGGGACUCCCACAGGACUGAAAGUGGGGGGCACACCGACCCCAGCAGAGCUCAUGACCACCCAGUAAAUUGCGAAUUCCUACAUCACAGAGAAAACUGAAGUGCAAACAGGUGAAGAGAAUGUGACAUUAUGAAUCAAAAGUGAAUUACCUGAAUCAAGCAGAAAUUAUUAAUGGUACCACAAGCUGUUGAGUGAUAGGGGGUCAGGAAACAGGAUAUUCACAGGACCCCCAAGUCCUCCACAGAUUUCUGAGCCAUCACAAAGAGAAAACUGUUAGAAUGAGACGAUGUGGAAGUCACCUCUUUAGCCAGAUGGCUGAAUUUAGCAUCACAAAGAGUGGGACUUGACAUGAUGUCCCUCCCCAAGAGAUGUAAGGGACACACAGCUUCCCCUUUGGAGUGUUGUCACAACAUGCAUGACCUGAAUCCAGCCAUGAGGAAACAACCAGACAAAUCCAGAAUGUGAGGCCUACAACACAGCGGUCCUGGGCUCUUCCAGAAGCCUAAUGUGAUGAAAAACCUAACAAGUUUAAAAGACGUGAAAGAGCAUAACAGUUAGAUACAGAGGUGAAUCCUGAUUAGAUCCUGGAUUAUAAUGACAGCAGCAGCAAAACUGUAAAAAGGUCCACGUAAGGAAGAUGUACGGGUAAUAACAAACUUGACACGCUGAAAGAUUGCAUUGGGACAUCUUAUGAACCAGAAUCGUGAUACCACAUUCACACGUCUUCAGCCAAGUCUUCCAUGGAUCUUCUGCCUUAAGAAGGUGUUUCCUGGCGCUAAGACUGUCCCCCAGCAAUGCUGGCAUGGAUGUACCUUUGAAGGCAAGUGGUUGCUGCUCUUCACUCACCUUUUCCCUCUCUCUGUGUGCUGACACUAACUCCUGCUGGGCUGAAGUUUGGGACCACUGGGGAGGAGUGGAGCCCUACUGAGAAGGGUGACACUCGUGUGGACAGCUCCGAUGGUUGGGACACUGGGAGGAGUGGUUGAAGGACUGGGGUCCUAGUGUGGGGGGGCAUCUCUGAGGUUUCUGUGACUCUUCCCAUCAGAGCCUCAGGCUCCUCAUCUGUAGGACGGGCAUGAUUCCAGCCCCUUGUUCCCACCGCUUAGAGGCCUGAAGAACAAGAGCAGCUGCAUUCCAGGCAUUUGUACCCUUCAGGCUGGCAUUGAGGCAUUUGUUGUGUGGGUGUGGGUUUGGGGAGGUAGAGGUUCAGGAUAGGGGCAGAGCCAGCUCAGCGAAGGAGGGAGGAAAGACAGAAAACUGGUAGGAAGAGGAAACUGGGGAAGGGGUGAUGGUCACAAGUUGCAAAUGGAUAGAUUGUGUUCUGUCCUAUGUGGUAGAAGCUUCUCUUCCUUUCUGUGUAUUUAAUAUCACUAAAGUGAGCCUCAGCCACCAGUGGCUUUGAAUUGGAUAAGGUCAUUUCGUACAAAAGUGUGUGUGUUGAAGCCGACAAGACUGACUUCCCCCAAAUCCAUCGUUGGACCAUCAGUAGAGACCCCUUAGAAAAUGGUUGGCCGGCAGUGGCACUAGGAAGGAAGCGCCAGGGCCCAGGGCAGGAGGAGAAUGGGCUGUGGUGGGAAAACUCCAGAAAGGCUGGUUGGGUCAGGGGGUUGGAAGCCUUCCAAGCUGGGUACAGCAUUCCACCCCAGAAGCCAUAGACAGUGGAGAACUCUUGACUUGGGGCCUGGGGAGGGGUCUGAGCCGUGCUCUGGGGCACUUUUCCACCCCCCAUCUUUGGAGUCACCGUGGCAGUUGAUGAGGAAGCCCAUCCCUGAAACCUAGUCUGCUCUGCAUGUGGACAGUGCCACCUGAUUUGAGGGAGCCACUGCCCGGCCCUCGAAGCCUUGAGUGUCCACAAAGAGAGACAGGGCUGACAAAGCACUCCUGGGGUGUUUUUUGGGGCUCCCCUCUCCCCCAGGCCUGCCACCUGUGGAGUGCGUGCUUCUCCCUGUGGGGACUCAACAGUGAGGGGCUGGGUCCAGCAAGGAUGGAGGCUCCUCCCCUCCAUCUGCCCAGCAGGCUGGCGACAUCUCCUCUCCUGACGUCGGGGUGUUAUCCUCAGCUCCAGGUAUCACACCCGCCACUGUGGAGUAAGGGGCUGAUGAGGUCGUGCCCCCUCACACAAAGUGGUCUUUCCCAGAAGCCCAUCUUUCCUGCAGCCCAGGGUCACCCUGCCCUGGGCCAGGCCCCAACUGAGGGGGCAGGGUGUUCGCAGCUGCUUUAGACCAGUUCCCCAGGCUUGAAGUCCAAGUCUGCAAAGACCCUCCAGCAGCCCCACUUCCUUCAGGAUGGGGUAGCCAUGGGCAGCACCCUGUGAGCAUGUGGGAGCUGGGAGAGGAGAGGUGGCUCCUGCCACUAUGCCCCCGCUGCUGGGCCACCAGCUCUUCGGAACCGAGGCAGCGCCUGCUGUGGGCAAAGCCUCAGGAGAAGAAGGAUUAACUGCAUAGCACACGUUACUCAAGCAGCAGGUUGGAGAAGCUUCCCCAGAGCCUGGUUCCUUUUCUGCUUCUCCGAGUUUUCGCUUCAGGUUUGGCCUGAAGGGCUGCUUCUUGAGGGGCAGAACACCCAGGACAGGCCAGAGAGGGCACCCUGGAGCCCGAGGUCUAUAGCCCUUUGUCCCAGUUCCUUGGGUGAGCACUGUGGGUGCUUCCAUCUCAGUGGGAAGACAGGUUAGCUCCCCAAGACCCAGUGGGCCUUGGAACUAUAGCAGGGUGGCAGUGAGCCCCAGACCAGGCAUCAGGGGCUUCAGGGCCAGCAGACUUGACCUGGCCCUGCCGCUCUCCUGGGAUGUCAUGCCCCUCCCCGCCUCACC
Molecule: long non-coding RNA, 3990 nt
Filed under: Sus scrofa (pig)
Lineage: Eukaryota; Metazoa; Chordata; Mammalia; Artiodactyla; Suidae
Description: lncRNA (ENSSSCG00005037709.1)
Source: RNAcentral